RNAcentral lists this ribosomal RNA (441 nucleotides) under uncultured bacterium. RNAcentral describes it as "bacterial SSU rRNA". It matches the Rfam family "Bacterial small subunit ribosomal RNA", at positions 337 to 795 of the family's 1533-position model. The record is from RNAcentral.
UCCUACGGGGCGCAGCAGUGGGGAAUCUUGCACAAUGGACGAAAGUCUGAUGCAGCGACGCCGCGUGAGCGAUGAAGCCCUUCGGGGUGUAAAGCUCUUUCGACAGGAACGAUAAUGACGGUACCUGGAGAAGAAGCUGCGGCUAACUACGUGCCAGCAGCCGCGGUAAUACGUAGGCAGCAAGCGUUGUUCGGAAUUACUGGGCGUAAAGCGUGCGUAGGCGGUGGCUCAAGUUUGGUGUGAAAUCUCCCGGCUCAACUGGGAGGGUGCGCCGAAAACUGAGUUGCUCGAGUGUGGGAGAGGUAGGCGGAAUUCCUGGUGUAGCGGUGAAAUGCGUAGAUAUCAGGAGGAACACCGGCGGUGUAGACGGCUUACUGGACCAUAACUGACGCUGAGGCACGAAAGUGUGGGGAGCAAACAGGAUUAGAUACCCCGGUAGUC